GGAAUUGGAGAACGCCCAUUUAUACAAACAAAUAUAAGUGGGCAAAAUCAAUACUCAUAAUAAAGACACAAAGACGACUAAAAACCUUAUUAAACUAGAUCCAGUAUGCAGCAUAACAGAAAAGGGGGUAUUUCAAGGAGUAGAGCGAGAAGGUGGUGGAGAAAAGAAAGGAAUAGAAGGAACUGCAGUUGGGAUUGAGGGAAUGCUUGGCAGAGGCGACAGUCCUCUUGGCAAUGUGGUAGGAAGUGGAGGAAGCGCCCCAGGGUUUGGGAGAUAAGGGAAAGAUGGCAAUGGUGGAAAAGAGAAAGGAAUAGGGGGAAUUGCAGUUGGGAUUGUGGGGACUGAGGGAAUGCUUGGCAGAGGGGGCAGUCCUGUUGGGAAUGUGGUAGGAAGUGGAGGAAGCGCCCCAGGCCAUGGGAAUGAUUGUCGGGAUGGCGUUGGGAGAUUAGGGAAAGAUGGUAAACUUUGCGGUUGAGGCUGCUGCAGAAGGUGACGAGCUGCUACCCCAACAUCAAUGCUUGCAAAUGACAAAGCAAUCAAGAAUGCUAAAGCAAGGAAAUUGAAAGAGGCCAUUUUUGUUCAGAGAUUUCGAAACAAAUGAAGCAGAUGAAACAAAGUUCUUUAUCUGAAUAGUUGUGGGUGAAGAAAACAAAGCAUGGUAUUGAGGUUUAUAUAGGCAUUGGAGCAGUGAAUAGAAAUCCCCUGCCCCUAAACAAUGCUCCAUGCAUGCCCCCAAACCAAAAUAGCUCCACAUGUUUUUUAUUUUUUUCAUUUUAAUUUUUUAAAAUAAAAACUCUGUAAUGAUUUGAAUUAAUUUUUAACUUAUUAUCAACGUUUUUAUUUUUGUUUUAUUUUUAUUUUACAUUAAUUUUACCUAUUCUUUAAUUAACAAAUUUAUAAUGACUUAGAGUUAAUUUGAGAGAUUUUUUUUUUAUAAUUGGUCUUAUAAUAAAAUUUUACAAAGCAGAAACAAGUUCCACUGUGAAAACAUGAUCCUUAAAUUUUUGGAGAUAACCAUGUUAAUUUUUUAAUCCCAACCAAAAUUCUAAAUAAUUCUUUUAUGUCAUAUUAAAUACACGUAACGUCUUAUAAAAAUUGUCAAUAAAUUAUGCAUAGUGACAAGGUUAUUCAAAUCUAAUUUCAUUGUUAAUACCUAUUUCUAUUUUUCUUCUACUGUCUUCAACUUUAAAUAUAAAGGGAUUGAAAUUUUAAGAAUUGAGAUUUCUUUUCUCUGUAUUAGUGGACGUUUGAUUUUUUAUUUUAUUUUUUUAUUGGAAUUGAUACAUAUCUUUUCAGAUUUAUCAAUAUAUUUUAAAAUUUUAUAAGAUAUGUAUAUAAAUAUAUUAAAAAUAUAAAAUGAAUGAAACUAAAUACAUUUCACAUAUAAAAUAUUCAUUAAUCAACUUAAGAAAUAAAAAUUUAUCAUUCAAAUAAUCCAAAAUUAUUACUAAUAAUCUCAUUUAAUAUGAAAUUUUAAGGAUUUAGCUCAUUUACUUAAUAAAAGUAGUUGAAAGGUGAAUGAAUAUUUUUUUUAUAAUCGGGUGAAUGGUUUUUUUCUUAAUUAUAUUUUUAAUGUGAAAGUAUAUUCUAAUUUUUUUUAAAAACUUUACAUUCCGAUGUAGCAUUUUUAAUUAGUCACGUUUCAAUUAAGUUUUUAGCAUAAUAGAAAAUAAUUAAAAGUUUAAUAUUUUUAAUAUUAUUCAUGCGCAGGACGGUGCACUAUGUUCUGGCAGGUGUGACUGGAAUUGAUCGGAAUGAGUUGGUGCAAUUGGUACGGACCGAAAUUUUUACCAGUGUAGAAAAAGGGUGUUGGGUGUUUCACAAUAUUAUUGAAAGCAAACCAAAAAGACCAAGAACCGAUGAACCCGAGAACUAGAGUAAACUGCAGUUAAACUACAAAUCAUCUGUCGAUUAAGUCGUAUUUUCACAUUCUUUAAACCGGAAAAACAAAAAUUACACUUCAAAUCCCUUGAGCCAUUGUUAUACUUUUUCUCUGCACUCAAUGAAAUAAAACACAACAUAAAAAAAAUAAGCACCAUCUCUUUUAUUACUUUUACUACUAAAAUAACUUUUUUUUUCUUGUGAAAAACCUAAGAUGGACUUAUAACAUAUAAUAAAAAGGGAAAAAAAAGACAAAUUAGGAAAGAUGAAAGAUGGGGAGAGGGUUUUAAAAUUCAAAGCCGUCAAAAUAGAUGAGUUUGGGGUUAUUAGUAUUAUUUUAUAUUGUUCAAUAGAAAAUUAAUUGUAUCGGUGGUUGAACCUGUGAGAUCAAAAAUUAAUUAAUUGAUUAAUUUAAUUAUCGAUCUAAUUUUAAAAAUAUUAAUAUUUCGGUAUAAAAUUAAUACAGUGCACACAAAUUAAUAUAACCGAAAUCUGUACGAAACCGAGCACCUUAAUUUAAUACAUAAUUUGACAUUCAUAUAAAAUAUUAUCUUGGAAAUAUAUUGAAAGAGGAAAGUAAUCGUAUGUAAAUGGAUAACUUGGAAGAUAUAAUGAAGCAGGAAUCAUUAUAUUAACAGUGGCAUCUUCUCGAUGUACGACUGCUCACUAUUUUGACUGCAUUUAUCGUUUGAUUCUUUUCUUAAUUAGCCAAACUCAUGUUAACAAUGGUAUAACAGUAAUUAAUUACUUCAUGGACAGAACAUCAAUAUAUAAAUACCCCAUAUAUAAUAAGCAACAACGUAUCAAAAUACACCAAAUAAUGGGAAUUGGAGAACGCCCAUUUAUACAAACAAAUAUAAGUGGGCAAAAUCAAUACUCAUAAUAAAGACACAAAGACGAUUAAAAGCCUUAUUAAACUAGAUCCAGUAUGCAGCAUAACAGAAAAUGGGGUAUUUCAAGGAGUAGAGCGAGAAGGUGGUGGAGAAAAGAAAGGAAUAGAGGGAACUGCAGUUGGGAUUGAGGGAAUGCUUGGCAGAGGCGGCAGUCCUCUUGGCAAUGUGGUAGGAAGUGGAGGAAGCGCCCCAGGGUUUGGGAGAUAAGGGAAAGAUGGCAAUGGUGGAAAAGAGAAAGGAAUAGGGGGAACUGCAGUUGGGAUUGUGGGGACUGAGGGAAUGCUUGGCAGGGGGGGUAGUCCUGUUGGCAAUGUGGUAGGAAGUGGAGGAAGCGCCCCAGGCCAUGGGAAUGAUUGUCGGGAUGGAGUUGGGAGAUUAGGGAAAGAUGGUAAACUUUGCGGUUGAGGCUGCUGCAGAAGGUGACGAGCUGCUACCCCAACAUCAAUGCUUGCAAAUGACAAAGCAAUCAAGAAUGCUAAAGCAAGGCAAUUGAAAGAGGCCAUUUUUGUUGAGAGAUUUCGAAACAAAUGAAGCAGAUGAAACAAAGUUCUUUAUCUAAAUAGUUGUGAGUGAGGAAAACAAAGCAUGGUAUUGAGGUUUAUAUAGGAAUUGGAGCAGUGAAUAGAAAUCCCCUGGCCCUAAACAAUGCCCCAUGCAUGCCCCCAAACCAAAAUAGCGCCACAUGUUUUUUAUUUUUUCCAUUUUAAUUGUAGUUCAUUUUUUAAAUAAAAUUUUUUUAAUGAUUUGGAUGAAUUUUUAACUUAUUAUCAACGUUUUUGUUUUUGUUUUAUUUUCUAUUAAUUUUACCUAUUCUUUAAUUAACAAAUUUAUAAUGAAUUGGAAUUAAUUUAACAGUUUUUUUUAUAAUCGUUCUUAUAAUAAAAUUUAAAAAGGUGGGAAUGAGUCCCACAAUGACAACAUGAUCCUUAAAUUUUGGGUGGUGGCAUGCCUUUAGUCAAAGGGUCAGAUAACAUUUGCUCAGUGUUAAUGUGCUCAAUGACGACUUUCUUUUCUUUAACAUGUUUCCUUAUGACUAGAUACUUAAAGUCGAUAGGUUUACUUCGACUUUCACUUUUUUACUCUUAGCCAUAAAGACAGCAAUUGAAUUGUCACAAUAUAUGAAAUAAUUGAAACCUAUAAUGACUCAGCUCAAAAAACUCGAGCCUCAAACCCAAAUUAAAUUAAAUCAAAAUCAUAAUUUAUUAUAUACAAUUGCAUAAAAUUAACAUAUUUUAAGUGUCAUAGUGCAUGUACAGCCCAAAUUUAGCUCGGGCCCCAAAACCUACCCAAACCCAAGUAACCAAUACAACUAGGGUUGAGCAAAAUUCGAUUCGACUCGAAAAAAUUGAAAAAAAAUUCGAAUUUCGAGUUAAACGAAUCGAGUUAUUCGAGUUAAUCGAGUUAUUCGAAUCAACUCGAUUUUUUUUUCGAAUUUCGAGUUCGAAUCGAGUUGAUUUUUCGAAUUCGAAUAACUCGAAUAAUUCGAAUAAUUCGAAUAUCAAAAUAUAAUAUUUUAGAGUUUUACCCUAAACUCCCAAACUUUUUUACUUUUCCCUCAAAACUUUUACUCCUUCCCACUUUUUCCCCAAAACUUUUACUCCCCUCCCCUCCCAACCCCCCAAUCUACCCAAAAUCUAUUUCCCACCAAAAUUUUACUCUUCCAUUCAUUUUUUUUUCCAAAAUUUUACUCUCAAAAACCCUCAAAACCUUUUAUUUUCUCCCAAAAUUUUUACUCCCUCCCACUUUUCCCCUAAAACUUUUAUUCUCUUCCCAUCCCACCUCCCAUCUACCCCAAACCCUCCCCCUCCAAUUUUUUUUUAAUAUUUUCCCUCCAAAAUUUUACUUCCCUUAUUUACUUUCCCUCAAACUUUUAUUCCCCAAAACUUUUUGUUUUCCCCCUAAACUUUUACUUCUCACCCUUUACUCUCAAAUAAAAAAUCAAAAUUAUCCAAAAAAAAUCACUAAACAUAAAUAGUAAUAAUUUUAUUUAUAUAUAAUAUUUAUAUUAUUAAAUUAAAUUUCACAUUUUAUAUUAUUUAUAUUAUUGAAUUGUUUAGUCAUAUUGAAUAUUUAUAUUAAAAUUGAAUUCUUAAUUAUGCCAUAAAAUAUUCGUGUUAAAAUUUUAUAUUGGUAUCAAUUUCAAAUUUUAUUUUUAAAAUAAAUUUUAUUAAAAAAAUCAUAUUUUUAUAUUUAAUAUAUUUUUUAAUUCCAAAAUACAUAGUGACAAGAAUCCGAAGAUAAUUGAAACAACUAAGCAAACAAAUAAGCUAACCAGUAUAUAAAAAAUUAAUAAAUAAAUUAUGAGGUGAUGAAAGUUAAUAAAAAAUUUGAUUAAGGUGGACAAAUUUUAUUACGAUGGGUGACAAUGGUUAUAAGGACCCAAAAUUAUUUUUUAAAAUUUAACUCGAACAAAUAUAUUCGAUUCGAUUCGAUUCGAAUUCCAUCUCACUCAACUCGAUUCGAGAAAACUUCAAAUAAAGUUAGGAUGAUAAAAUGAGAUUCGAAAACUCGAUUAACUCGAAAAUUUUCGAUUCAAUUCGAUUCGAUUCGAUCGAAUGCUCACCCCUAAAUACAACCCAAAUACAGACUAAAAAACCUAAGCCCAAAAACCAGCCCAAUAAGCCCAAAUCUAACCCUAGCCCAGAAACCCAAAUCAGAGACAAAAAAUAAAUUUUUCAAACCCUAGGUGCGCCGCACCUAGGGUUCUCUGCCCCGUUGGCCACCGCAUGCUAGGACCUGCUGCCACCGCCCUUGUCCCAUUUGCCUCUGACGCCUAGCCACUGCCACCGCCGCCUGCAGCACCAACUCCACUGCUCAACCCCUGCAAAAUGAAAACCAAACACGCAAAGCAGAAGCAAAAACAAUGCAAAAUAGUAGAAAAAAUAGAUAAAAAAAUGUAUUGUAAAUUGGCUAUUAAAGCCUGGAUCUCAGCCUUGUAAUCUUUCUUCUUUUGCUUUCACGAACGUUAGAAAAUAAAAACAAAAAAAAAGUUUCAAGAUGAUUAUCUUUAUUAUUUUAGAUUUCGAUUUUAUUUUAUUUUAUUUUCAUUUUAUCUUCUUAUUUUUAAGCACGAAAAUAAAAAAGAAAAGGAGAAAGAAACAUACCUGAAUCAGCCCUUAGAUCCGUCGUUAUCAGCCCUUCGACGCCGUCGGAUUCAGGUUUAGGGAAGGGCUAAGACCCUUUUUUUUUCUCCUUGUUUCCCCAUUCUAAGAUUUUGGUCUUUGAACGCGUUUCAACGCACUGAUCGAGAACGCCCUCUUGCAACGCCGGCCGUCAGCCACGGCGGCGCAAGCGAUGGUCCUGUUGGCUGAAUUUAGAGGGAUCGAGAGAGAGGCUAAGAGCUCUCUUUUUUUUUCUGAAAAAUGAAGUUGGAAAUGUUGUUUUUUUUUGUUUUUUUUACUAUUUAUAUAGGGUAUAAAACGAUGCCAUUUUGGACCUUUACAUCGGUGGCCAAAACGACGUCGUUUUGCCCUGACCCGAGCGGUGACCCGACCCUGGGGGGAGGAUCCGCGUGUUUUCUUAAAAAGGGAUAUUUUCGUGCGCGAUCCAUCUGCUUUUGCAAAGCGUUGCAAUUUGCCCUUUUUUCCUUCUUUUCUUUUAUUUCAAUUUAGCCGCAUAAUUUUAUUUUUGUUUCAUUUUAGUCCCGCGUAAAGUGAUGCAUUUUGAAGGACAGGAUAUUUCCUUUUUGGUCCCCCUGCUUUCCUGCGCAUCACAAAUUAAUCCUUUGCCUAUUUUAUUUUUGAUUUCUCCCCUGGGAUUUUGUUUUGUUUUCAAUUUAGUCCCGUUAUUAUUAUUAUUUAUUAAACUAAUUAGUUUUAUUAUUAUUAUUAUUAUUAUUGCAUUUAUUAUUAUUACCUACCUUAUUAUUAUUAUUUACCCAUUUAUACCGUUUUUAGAUUUUGUUAUAUAUAUACAUACUUACAUAUUUUUAAUUUUUAUAUAUGUACGUACUUAUAUUUUUUAUAUACUUUAUACUUUAUAUAUACAUAUAUACAUACAUAUUUUAAUAUAUUUUUAAACAUAUAUAUACAUUAUCAUUAUUUACUUGUUUAUAUAUAUAUUUUAAACUUUGUUGUAUUUAUACACAUAUAUUUUUAUAUUUUUAUAAUUUUUUUAUUUUCAUUAUUACUAUUAUUGUUUUAUUCAAAAUUUAUUUAUUUAUUUACAUGUCUAUUAUUAUUAUCAUUAUUUUUUUAAUGUUUUAGUUUUUAUUUGUUUAUUACUUGUUAUUGUGUAUACAUGAUUGAUUUUUUUUAUAUUUGUAUUCUUAUUUAUUUAUCUUUCUGUUUUUGCCCAUAUUAUUUUUACUUACAUUAUCAUAAUCGUUAUUCCAUUACAUCAAUUUUUACCCAGAUUCGUAAAAAAGAAAAUUUUGAAAAUAAAGGCAAUACUCAGUAUUUGGGAUUUUCGAGAGGAUUGAGCCCUAACGCAUUGGGUUCCAAUUUUCUUCGUUGAAUCUAAAUAAUCGAGAACGCUCUUUAAUCAAAAAACAUAAAUAAAAAGUUCAUUAUCGAGAAUUCAAUACGUUGUGUCCUAACGCAUUGCAUAUGACACGUUCUUUUCUCGAAAUAAUGAUUUUUCUAAAAAAUAAUAAAGGCAAUAUUCAAUGUUUAGAAUUUGAGAAAUUGUGCCCUAACAUAUUGGGUUGCGAUUUUUUCAUCUGACUUAAACAAUUGAAUAUCCUUUUAAAUUUUAUUGCACGAGUUUUUUGGGCAAAUUCAUUCUUGAGGAGGUGAAAUAUCAUGCCCUAACUCAUUGGGUGUGACAUUUUCUCUCUCCGAAAUGAGAGGGUCUUAACGGGUAAUUUGAUUUAUACAAGUUUUUUUAAUAAAUGAUUGUAUUUUAAAUCUCUUUAGAGUUUCUAAUUCUCGACACCAAGACACUAAAUAAUCAACUACGUACCAAUCUUGGGCGUUACGAGGGUGCUAAUCCUUCCUCACAUGUAAUCGACUCUCGAACCCAUUUUUCUGAAUUUAGUGGACCAAGAUCGUUGUUUUAAUAAAAUCAAAUCGUUUAUUAAAAACAACCACUUUUUAAGGUGGCCCAAUCACACCUCAUCAAAAAAGAUUUGUGGCAACUCCCAUUUUCGUUUCAUUUUCAAAACCCAAGUCGACCCCAUUUUCACAAAAAAUUGGUGUCAACAAUGCACAUUAAAUUAAAGUUUAUGUUUGACAUUAUAGAUUGAAGCAAUAUUCAUGUGUAAAAUUUUGAGAUUUAUUUCCUUAAUUAAAGUAAUAUUUCAAAUAGAAUACUUAAACAAUCCUCCAUGUUGGCAAACUUUAUGUACAUUAGAAACAAACUAAAUAAUUAGAAUAAAUCUAAAGUAUGGCUUACAUUUAAUUUAUUCACAAUGUGACUUAAACUUUGGCCUUCAAGAUUUCACGGUCUCAAAUUAUGUCUUAAAAAUUUUAAGAUCAUUUUAGCUUUGUUAAAAAAAAUCAAAAGUUUAGAAAGUUAGAAUUGUUGCUUGAGGCGUGAAUAUCCCUAGUCUUUAGGAUAUUCAUGGAUUUACUAUCUCUCAAGAUUUAAUUUGUAUCAUGCACAAUGAAAAAAUUUAAAAAAAAAUUUCCCAUUUGAAUGGAAUUGAGCUAUUAGGCUCAAGCCUCGUGUGCGCAUAUAUAUUCUCUUAUUUUGAGUCUUACAAGUUUAUAAUAAACCAAAUCUAUAUAAACGUCAUUUAACAAGUGUAUCUAAAAUAUGUUUAAUAUGUGUCAUUCUUUAAAAUACAUGAAAACUUCAAAUAUGGUUUAGGUCAUUUUCAGAUUUGUCUUAUUUUAGGUUCAAAUCAUUCGAAUUUGAGGCUAAGUUUUUCAUGUCUAAUCAUUAUUAAUCCGAAUCAUUUUAGAUUUUGAUCAGUUUAAGUUUCAAUUAUUUUGUGAUCAAAUUAUUUUAAGUUUAGAUAAAUUUGGGUCAAUUCGAAUUUGACUUAAUUACGUAAUUACCUUUUUUUUUAUAAUAAAUUGAGCUGACUGAAAUUUAGAUUGGAAUUUAUUUAGUGUGCCUUUGUGUUUAAGUUGAAAUUUAAACAUCUGUAUUAGAAAUACACAUGUUAAUACAAUUUUAUGUUAAAGACAAUAAUACGACAGAGUUGAUUUGGGAGAUAAACAUGUUAAUUUUUUAAUCCCAACUAAAAUUGUACAUAAUUCUUUUAUGUCAUAUUAAAUACAUGUAUAAAAAUUGUCAAUAAAUUAUGCCUAGCGACAACGUUAUUCAAAUCUAAUUUCAUUGUUAAUACCUAUUUCUAUUUUUCUUCUAUUGUCUUCAACUUUAAAUAUGAAGGAAUUGAAAUUUUAAGAAUUGAGAUUUCUUUUCUUUGUAUUAGUGGACGUUUGAUUUUUCGUUUGAUUUUUUUACUAGAAUUGAUGCAUAUCUUUUCAGAUUUAUCAAUAUUUUUUAAAAUUAUUUAAGAUAUGUAUAUAAAUAUAUUACAAAUAUAAAAUGAAUGAAACUAAAUGCAUUUCAAAUUUAAAAUAUUCAUUAAUAAACUUAAUAAAUAAAAAUUUAUCAUUCAAAUAAAUCCAAAAUUAUUAAUAAUAAUCCAUCAUUUAAUAUGAAUGGAUAUUUUUUUAUUUGAUGAUCGGGUGAAUGGUUUUUUCUUAAUUAUAUCUUGAAUGUGAAAGUAUAUUCCAUUUUUUUUUAAAUUUACAUUCCGAUGAAGCAUUUUUAAUUAGUCAAAUUUCAAUUAAGUUUUUAGCAUAAUAGUAAAUUAUUAAAAGUUUAAUAUUUUAAAUAUUAUUCAUGCACAGGACGGUGCACUAUGUUCUGGCAGGUGUGACUGGAAUUGAUCGGAAUGAGUUGGUGCAAUUGGUACAGACCGAAAUUUUUACCAGUGUAGAAAAAUGGUGUUGGGUGUUUCGCAAUGUUAUCGAAACCAAACCAAACAGACCAAGAACCGAUGAACCCGAGAACUAGAGUAAACUGCAGUUAAAUUGCAAAUCAUCAGCUGAUUAAGCCGUAUUUUCACAUUUUCUAGAUUGGAAAAACAAAAAUUUCACUUCAAAUCCCUUGAGCUUUUGUUACACUUCUUCUCUUAACUCAAUGAAAUAAAACAAACCAUAAAAAGAAUAAGCACCGUUUCUUUUAUUACUUUUUCUAUUAAAAUAUUAUUUUUUUUCUCGUGAAAAACCUGGACUUAUAACAUUCAAUCAAAGGAAAAAAAAGACAAAUUAGGAAAGAUGAAAGAUGGGGAGAGGGUUUUAAAAUUUAAAGCCUUCAAAAUAGAUGAGUUUAGCGUUAUUAAUAUUAUUUUAUAUUAUUCAAUAGAAAAUUAAUUGUAUCGGUGGUUGAACCUGUGAGAUCAAGAAUUAAUUAUUUGAUUAAUUUGAUUAUCGAUUUAAUUUUAAAAAUAUUAAUAAUUCGAUACAAAAUUAAUAUAGUGCAGACAAAUUAAUAUAACAGAAAAUUGUACGAAACGAGCACCUUAAUUUAAUACAUAAUUUGACAUUCAUAUAAAAUAUUAUCUUGGAAAUAUAUUGAAAGAAGAAAGUAAUCGUAUGUAAAUGGGUAACUUGGAAGAGAUGAUGAAGCAGGAAUCAUUAUAUUAAAAGUGGCAUCUUCUCGAUGUACGGCUGCUCACUAUCUUGACUGCAUUUAUCGUUUGAUUCUUUUCUUAAUUAGCCAAACUCAUGUUAACAAUGGUAUAACAGUAAUUAAUUACUUCAUGGACAGAACAUCAAUAUAUAAAUACCCCAUAUAUAAUAAGCAACAACGUAUCAAAAUACACCAAAUAAUGGGAAUUGGAGAACGCCCAUUUAUACAAACAAAUAUAAGUGGGCAAAAUCAAUACUCAUAAUAAAGACACAAAGACGACUAAAAACCUUAUUAAACUAGAUCCAGUAUGCAGCAUAACAGAAAAGGGGGUGUUUCAAGGAGUAGAACGAGAAGGUGGUGAAGAAAAGAAAGGAAUAGAGGGAACUGCGGUUGGGAUUGAGGGAAUGCUUGGCAGAGGCGGCAGUCCGCUUGGCAAUGUGGUAGGAAGUGGAGGAAGCGCCCCAGGGUUUGGGAGAUUAGGGAAAGAUGGCAAUGGUGGAAAAGAGAAAGGAAUAGGGGGAAUUGCAGUUGGGAUUGUGGGGACUGAGGGAAUGCUUGGCAGAGGGGGUAGUCCUGUUGGCAAUGUGGUAGGAAGUGGAGGAAGCGCCCCUGGCCAUGGGAAUGAUUGUCGGGAUGGCGUUGGGAGAUUAGGGAAAUAUGGUAAACUUUGCGGUUGAGGCUGCUGCAGAAGGUGACGAGCUGCUCCCCCAACAUCAAUGCUUGCAAAUGACAAAGCAAUCAAGAAUGCUAAAGCAAGGCAAUUGAAAGAGGCCAUUUUUGUUCAGAGAUUUCGAAACAAAUGAAGCAGAUGAAACAAAGUUCUUUAUCUGAAUAGUUGUG
RNAcentral lists this long non-coding RNA (11144 nucleotides) under Gossypium barbadense (sea-island cotton). Its description in RNAcentral is "long non-coding RNA (GBAR_LNC022198)". Lineage: Eukaryota; Viridiplantae; Streptophyta; Magnoliopsida; Malvales; Malvaceae. The record is from RNAcentral.